GUGAGGAAUAUUGCGCAAUGGAGGCAACUCUGACGCAGCCAUGCCGCGUGCAGGAAGAAGGCGCUACGCGUUGUAAACUGCUUUUAACCGGGAAGAAACCCCAGGACGUGUCCUGGGUUGACGGUACCGGAGGAAUAAGCACCGGCUAACUUCGUGCCAGCAGCCGCGGUAAUACGAAGGGUGCAAGCGUUAUCCGGAUUCAUUGGGUUUACAGGGUGCGUAGGCGGAGCGUUAAGUCAGUGGUGAAAUCCUGCAGCUUAACUGUAGACUUGCCAUUGAUACUGGCGCUCUUGAGUGCGCUUGAAGUGGGCGGAAUGUGCCGUGUAGCGGUGAAAUGCUUAGAUAUGGCACAGAACACCAAUUGCGAAGGCAGCUCACUAAGGCGAUACUGACGCUGAGGCACGAAAGCGUGGGGAUCGAACAGGAUUAGAAACCCGUGUAGUCC
This 445-nucleotide ribosomal RNA is filed under the name uncultured bacterium. Its description in RNAcentral is "partial 16S ribosomal RNA". It matches the Rfam family "Bacterial small subunit ribosomal RNA", at positions 354 to 796 of the family's 1533-position model. The record is from RNAcentral.